Non-coding RNA from Pelobates cultripes (western spadefoot toad), 1352 nucleotides. The record is from the annotation of a GenBank genome assembly. Lineage: Eukaryota; Metazoa; Chordata; Amphibia; Anura; Pelobatidae.
GGAAACAGCUGCAAUAUGAUUUUAAUAUUUGCAAUAUAUUAGUGUUCUGACAAUGGGAAAGUACCUAACCGCAUGUCUGCAUUACACCUAUGACCCAGACUGUCAGAAUUGCAAACCUUAUAUGAAGACUCUGCUUUCACUGUUUAUGUAUACACCCCUAGACAACUGCUAUGCUAUACAUAUACAAUAAAUCUUCAAAAGCUUAUUAAUAUAUCUGUGUGGUACACAAAGAGGGGGUGUGAGUUAGGUAAUCUCGACCUGCAUGUGGAAUAUGCUUCCUCCUUGUUCACUUUUGGGCAAACUGUUGGUCUGUGACUGGCCCGCUUUGACCCCAACUGAAUUUCUUGGGAAGAUUCAUGAGAAAGAUACAGCAGGUUGUUUUGAUAUAAAGAAAGAGGGAAAAGUAUGUUGUAUCGGUCACAAAGGAUUGUGAUCUUAAGCAGGCGAGACACGGACAUUUGGGAGGUGAUAGGAGAUUGAAUCAGAAAAGUUUUAGAGGCAGAGGUAGAGGAUUUGAUCAAAGGGUCUAACUUUUGUAGAGGUGGUAACUUCAGCAGUGUUUUAAUUGUGGAUAGCAGGGGUUCACCCCAAGGUGCUCAUGGUGAACCCGGUUCUCCCGGUCAAGCUGGCCCCACUGGUACUCCUAGUAUUGCUGGUGCCCCUGGCUUCCCUGGUGCCUGUGGUGCUCCUGGACCUCAAGGCCCCGGAGGUUCCCCUGGACCUAAGGGUAACAAUGGUGAACCUGGUGCUCAAGGAAACAAAGGAGAACCCGGUGCUACGGGAGAUCCUGGCCCAGCUGGUGUUCAAGGACCCACCCUGACAGUUCCUCAAUACCAACCACAGCUUCCAAACUAUACCCACACCCAACAACCCCAGCCUAACUGAAUACACAGAUGGUUCAUGUUUUUAAUACUUUAUAGUUUUGAGUGAUAAAACAGUAUUAAUGCUGGCUCUUAGAGGAUGUACAAGCUGAAGUUGGGACAUAGACAUUGUUUGCAUAGGCUGCGCAAUGUGAAAUAGCUAAAAUAAAAUAGGAUAAUAAUAAGUAUGCUUAGUCAAUUUGUAACGUGGUAUCAUAGAGGCAUCUACAAUAAAACACGUGGGUUUCCAGGACCUGACAAGUGAGGGCAACUUAAUCUAACAUAUGUCUACAGUUUGCUGUCCCUUCCUUAUCAGAGGUCACUUGCAACCUUAACACAGCAAGACAACUCUUCCGAAACCUGUAUUAAACAAAGCACUUUAAAACAAUAGUAAUUCAUUUUGUUUCUCCUAUUUCAUUCCUAGUUGUUCUGAAAAAAAAAAGAUUGUUUAAGUGAGAUAACUGUACAGUAUUAAAACAUGAUCACACACAU